Long non-coding RNA from Populus nigra (black poplar), 1349 nucleotides. RefSeq lists it as uncharacterized. The record is from RefSeq and is a predicted model, not a curated record. The transcript is spliced from 2 exons. NCBI's taxonomy places the organism in Eukaryota, Viridiplantae, Streptophyta, Magnoliopsida, Malpighiales, Salicaceae.
AGCUGAUAUUAACAAAACAGGAAGAGAAUGUGGGUUGGCCGGCGGGGAGGUCCUAUAAAGAUACUCAUGAAAAAAGGUUAGAACCUUUAAAUUAUUUACUUGAGCACUUAGCACUUAAGGCUGAUCAUUUGACGUGGAUAUGAUUGUAAUAGAACUCUAUUUUGAAAUUCACCUCUGCCUAGUUGUGUCCUGAAAUGGAUUCUGUCCAGAUUCCACACCUUUGGGCAUAAUUAUCAUUGAAAUGAUAAUUAGGACAAUGGAAAAGCUAUCACCUCACCAUUUGGAGAGAUACUCUGAAAAAUAUGUCAGAGUCAAAUACAUGUGUCAAUAGGUAUUUAACCCAUUUCUAUUCCUAUCUAACGCUGAAUUGAUAACCUACGCAUAAAAUAAAGUCUCUGAAUUUGAAAAAAAAAAAAAAAAACUUUACUGACAAUUACUUGUUUGGUCAGAAGAGUUCUCUGAAUAUUCUGGUCUUGGAUCAGUGAUUAAUUUCCAUAUUUUGAUUUUGGAAUCCCAAUAAUGAAUCAAGAACAGAGGAUUGGCUCAUUCCAAGAAAAAAGAAGAUGGGAAUUUUCCUUAAGUAAUUGAAAUAAAUGAAAAAUAGAGUGACUACAAAAACAAAUAUGUUUAAUAGGAUUUGUUUUCCUCCUACCCUGAAUAUCGAAUUAUUGUACCUGACUGAAUGUGUUCAAGUGUUGUCGUAGGUCAAGCUCUUCAAUGCAGAGAUGAAAUUGUGGAUGUGGUCCAUCACGUUCAAAAUUGUCCAUUAAGCUGUUUAAACUUAAAAGUGCAUCUAUUGGCAAGUUUUGAUGCUACCCGUUUUUAGUGGAAGAGGGAAGCAAUGGGGAGUCGCUCUUUUGAUAGUGGUUUAAGGUGAUGGAAGACCACAUGCAUUGCAAGAUUAUCUUAUUUAAAGAGGAGAGAGCAUUUUGCUAAAGGAAUGGCCACUGCUGUGUUUCACCAAGCCUUAGGGGCUGCUCAGUCCCAUCAACACCUCCAGAACUCUGGCUCUCAUUAUGAACUUGUCAAUGCUUCGGUGAAACUGAUAUCUAAAGGUUUCAAGGUUGACAUUGGACUGCCAAGAAGAGGGAGUUGUAGUUCUUGUAAGAGGAAAUUUGGUGUUCUUCAAGCCUAAGCUUCUCAAACUUAAGUGGUUCAACCAGUUUCAUAUCCCCCAAAUUACUGCACUGAUGAGUUGCGAAAGAAAUAAAGUAUGCUUGUUUCAUUUUGAAAGCUUCUUUUGGGGCUCGAAAGGGUAGGAAAAGAAGCAUGUAAUGAUGAAAGUAACUUCCUUUAGUAUGUACUUUGUUGUGAUUCAUAUCUUUUUUAACAACACUGAAUUAGUGUCA